RNAcentral lists this long non-coding RNA (1574 nucleotides) under Salmo salar (Atlantic salmon). Its description in RNAcentral is "lncRNA (ENSSSAG00000098524.1)". Lineage: Eukaryota; Metazoa; Chordata; Actinopteri; Salmoniformes; Salmonidae. The record is from RNAcentral.
UUCUAGUUACUGAGUAGGAGUGGUAACCAGAUUAAAUCGGGUAUGUUUUUUAUCCAGCCGUGUCAAUGCUGCCCCCUAGCCCUAACAGGUUAAAUACAGCACUAACCUUUGAUGAUCUUCAUCAGAUGACACUCCUAGGACAUUAUGUUAUACAAUACAUGCAUGUUUUGUUCAAUCAAGUUCAUAUUUAUAUCAAAAAACAGCUAGCAAGCGUCCCACCUAGCCCAUAGAGGUUAACAGAGUCUGAGGACAUGAAUGACAGCCUUGUGGAUUCAGCUGCCAUGGACACUGCAGUGGAUGAUGAUGCUGAGUAGAGAACAAGAGUGUGGGUGUCAGAGUUGCCUUCUGAAGGAACAGGUGACACAAGCCUGGAGGGUGAUGUGCGAUCCUUGGAUGCUCAGGAUAUUCCACCUUUGGAUUCUGUGGAAGACACACUGCAGCUGGAAGGUCUGCCUCGAUCAGAGAGUCUUCAAGAAUCUGACCGAGACCGUAACAGUGUAGUGAGUGAGCUAAUUGACCAGUCUGCUUACGAUAUCCGUACUGACCUACCAAACUCGGACCAUUCCUUACCUGAUCAGUUACGCACUGCCUGUGUUGACAGACCCACUAUCGCAACAGUACACAACACUGUUACCCCUUAUGCAGUUGAAGGUACUCGGGGUUGUAUUAGGUCAAGGGCAGGAAGACUAUUUAGACCAGUGUCUAGACUGAUUGAGAUUAUGAAUCAGCAGAAAGUUAGCUCUUGAAGGUUAAUAUUUGAAUAGAGAGGGUCAAUGGUAUUGACAUCUUUUAUUUGUUUUGUUUUUACAUCAUCGUGACCAUGAUUAGAGAUGGCAGGAUGGUAAUGUGACGGAUAUGAUAAAGCCUCACAUGGUAGUUUAUUUUAUUACUUGGAUGUUUUAAAGUCGCUGAGUGUACUUAACAUGUAACAGUCAUCUUUACCUAUGAGAGCUAAGGGGAUUGAUCAACCACUUUUCACUCUAAUUCUCAAGGAGAAUAGUGUAAUGACUGGAGUAUUUAGUGACUGUUUUAAAGCAGGGUCUGCAUCCUCGAUAUACACAGCUUUACCAUUUAGUUUUCUCUAUUGGGUAGUAUAAAAACAUAUCUAUUUUUUUUUUUCUUCUCUGUGGAUUAUUCUGUACAUAUGUUGAGUGUAUCUGUACCUGGUGUGUUUGCACAGUGUGGUUUUGUAUUUGUAUUAUUUUUCUUUGCAAGUGGAAUUCAGUAGGGGGGAGUGUAACAGGGUUAUAUUGGUGAUUCCCCUUGCCACUUUAUUGUUAAGCCAAUGGGUUUUUGGUUUUAUUUUGUCUUGCCUUCACCUACUCAACAUGGCAUCUUAUUGGCUGGUUUGCGUAGCUUGCUUACGAGGGAGGAUGUUUCAGUUAGAAUCGUCCCAGUGAACAAGCACCAAACCAGCGGUCUAUCAGAUGGACAAUGUAUCUCGGAUCACGGCUCAUGUCUCCAAAUAGGGCUGAAUCAGCCAACCCACGAUGUGUCUAUGGGAGCUGUAAUAUUCAGUCCGGCAUGAAUCAUCAACCAGGUCUAUGACAUCCGACCGGAGCCGACUCACCGAC